GUUUGCCCGCGCUUUUGCAUCGCACUCUCGAGCCAGGACAGGAUGGCGUCUGUAAAAGAAGUUCCUGAGCAAUCCAUGCAGGACACAGCAAAGCAGCACACAGGACGAGAGCAUCCUGGGUGACCAGGACACACUGCAGCCUGCAGGUAGGUGAUCCUCUUCUAGGUAACACAUCGAUUCUCUGC
This is a long non-coding RNA of Anguilla anguilla (European eel), 185 nucleotides long. RefSeq lists it as uncharacterized. The transcript has 3 exons. Lineage: Eukaryota; Metazoa; Chordata; Actinopteri; Anguilliformes; Anguillidae. The record is from RefSeq and is a predicted model, not a curated record.